AGGGAAUCUUCCGCAAUGGACGAAAGUCUGACGGAGCAACGCCGCGUGAGUGAAGAAGGCCUUCGGGUCGUAAAACUCUGUUGCCGGGGAAGAACAAGUGCCGUUCGAACAGGGCGGUGCCUUGACGGUACCCGGCCAGAAAGCCACGGCUAACUACGUGCCAGCAGCCGCGGUAAUACGUAGGUGGCAAGCGUUGUCCGGAAUUAUUGGGCGUAAAGCGCGCGCAGGCGGCUUCGUAAGUCUGAUGUGAAAUCGUGCGGCUCAACCGCAAACGGUCAUUGGAAACUGGGAGGCUUGAGUGCAGAAGAGGAGAGUGGAAUUCCACGUGUAGCGGUGAAAUGCGUAGAGAUGUGGAGGAACACCAGUGGCGAAGGCGGCUCUCUGGUCUGUAACUGACGCUGAGGCGCGGAAGCGUGGGGAGCAAAC
Molecule: ribosomal RNA, 426 nt
Filed under: uncultured bacterium
Lineage: Bacteria
Description: bacterial SSU rRNA
Rfam family: Bacterial small subunit ribosomal RNA
Source: RNAcentral